Molecule: long non-coding RNA, 828 nt
Filed under: Marmota monax (woodchuck)
Lineage: Eukaryota; Metazoa; Chordata; Mammalia; Rodentia; Sciuridae
Source: RNAcentral
GUGUUAUAAUAUCUAUCACAUAUUAUAUUUAAUGUGUCAUCUAUGACCUUAGGACAGACAAGGUUAUACUACAGUGAUAAGUGGAGCCUAAACUCCAAGUGAUUUAACAAAUGACACACUCAUAGUUUGCUUCCGCUAUGUCUUUCUCAUGGGGUUGUGUGUCUUUGGUGGGGGAUGUGUCUGUGCUCCACUCAGGUACCCAGGGUGAUGGCCAUUGUGCUCCAUCUAGGACAGGCAACCUUCUCCUUGACUGCAGCAGGAGAGAGAGAAACCAAGUGCCCUCAUACUUUCACACACAUUCCAUUGACCAGAACUGGUCUCGGACCCUGUCUAAUUCCAAAGGAGUGGGAAAGCAGGUGAAGCAAAUGUCGUAUUUACUGAAUGUCAUUCUCCUUGCCACUGUGGUCUUCCAAGACGUUUUCCCAGUUCUCUCCAGCUGCAACCAAUAUUUUUCUGACAGUGUUCAAUGUGCCUGUCCUUUGUAACGGGCAUUUCCCACAUCAUAUGGAGAAUGUAGGUGUGCAUACGACAUCCAUGACUCAUCUCCACAGAAAUCACUACAUGCCAGACGCUCUCCUGGUUACAUCUGUCAACACGUUAAACCUCAUAAUCCUCUGAGGUUCCUACUUUUGAUGUGUCCAAGGUGAAGACGAGGACAUGAGAGGACCUCCCACCGCCAGUUGGUUCCACAGUCCAUGUUGAACCACUGUGUUAUGUUGUGGCUUCUUUUUUAACUUCCUUAUUAGCAAAGACUAAAAUGUAAAACUGAUUCAUUUCUUUAUUUCUCAUGACACCAAAUACCAUUUUAGGCACUCAGUGGAUUUUCUG